GCAAACAUCAGCAAAUUCAGCAAGUUCUGAGGUGGAUUCUCAUGAAUCCUGGACCCCAAACAAACAUGACAGCAACCCAUACUUACAAUUCGAGUUCACUCCAGGGAAUACAGUUAUUGGUAUACAAAUCAAGGGCAAGGAAGAAAAGAACGAGUGGGUUACAAAAUUCACAAUUUCCUACAGUGUUGAUGGAAUUGUAUGGACUCCGCUAAACAAGAUAUUUGAUGGCAACUCUGAGGAACACAAGGAAACCAUCAUCUUUUUCGACCAAUCUAUCCCCUCCAAUGCUGCUUAUGUCCGUGUUUAUCCUGUUGAAUAUCAUGGGCACAUCAGCUUAUUUGCUCAACUUCUACAAGACUGUCUGAAUAAGACAACAACUGAAGCACCAACAACGCCCACUCCCACCCCUACAGUGAAAACAACAACAACCACAACAC
Molecule: long non-coding RNA, 437 nt
Organism: Lethenteron reissneri (Far Eastern brook lamprey)
Lineage: Eukaryota; Metazoa; Chordata; Hyperoartia; Petromyzontiformes; Petromyzontidae
Source: RefSeq, a predicted model, not a curated record